AUUAAUUAAAAGUAGUGAGGUCACUUUUCACGAAGGGCAGUGAGCUAAAUAUAUAUGUGUUGUCAAACAAAUACGUAGCAUAGUAUUUUUAAAUGUCUUUUUAGGGGUGAUAGGCCUCUCAAACUGUCCGAUAACUUGACUCAUAUGAAAAGUAUUAAGUACUUCUACAUACUUAAAAAGUUAAGCUUUUAAGUAUAAAUUAAACAUGUUCCUUUUCCUUAACGCAGUGUAGUAGCUGGUUACUUGUCAUAGAAAUAUUACGCACGAUUUUUUAUUUAGAUUAAUGUGGCAGUAUUGCCUAUAACAGUAUUAGAUAAUGUUAAUAUUAGUAGUUAUUUUAAGUGUGUUAAAGGAACUUGGCAAAUAGUCUCUCAACUGUUUAUCAAAAACAUAGCUAUAUGUAUUAAUAUAUAGUUAUUUCUGCUCAAUGACGUAAAUAGCCGCAGUACUCUGACUGUGCAAAGGUAGCAUAAUCAGUUGGCUUUUAAUUGGGGUCUGGUAUGAACGAAAAUAUGGGUGGCGACUGUCUUAGCAUAUUUAAGCAAACUUAUUUAGCAAGUGAAAAUCCUUGCUGUCACAAAAAAGACGAGAAGACCCUAGAAACUUGAAGUAGGUUUUGUUGGGGCGACAGAAUUACAUUUAACUAAUUUAUAAAACACGUCAUACGUUUGAUUGAAUAAGUUACUCUAGGGAUAACAGCAUAAUUUUUAUAGUUUGUGACCUCGAUGUUGGACUAGGUAGUCCACCCUUGAGGCAAGGGUAGAAGAUGCUCUGUUCGAGCAAUUACACCUACAUGAUCUGAGUUCAGACCGG
This 813-nucleotide ribosomal RNA is filed under the name Helix pathetica. Its description in RNAcentral is "partial large subunit ribosomal RNA". The stretch from base 333 to 572 matches the Rfam family "Archaeal large subunit ribosomal RNA", at positions 1787 to 2143 of the family's 2987-position model. Lineage: Eukaryota; Metazoa; Mollusca; Gastropoda; Stylommatophora; Helicidae. The record is from RNAcentral.